RNAcentral lists this ribosomal RNA (164 nucleotides) under Kaisupeea herbacea. RNAcentral's name for it is "5.8S ribosomal RNA". It matches the Rfam family "5.8S ribosomal RNA". From Rfam's summary of the family: 5.8S ribosomal RNA (5.8S rRNA) is a component of the large subunit of the eukaryotic ribosome. It is transcribed by RNA polymerase I as part of the 45S precursor that also contains 18S and 28S rRNA. The record is from RNAcentral. Lineage: Eukaryota; Viridiplantae; Streptophyta; Magnoliopsida; Lamiales; Gesneriaceae.
AUAAUGACUCUCGGCAACGGAUAUCUCGGCUCUCGCAUCGAUGAAGAACGUAGCGAAAUGCGAUACUUGGUGUGAAUUGCAGAAUCCCGUGAACCAUCGAGUCUUUGAACGCAAGUUGCGCCCGAAGCCAUCAGGCUAAGGGCACGUCUGCCUGGGCGUCACAC